GGGAUUCAGCUCAGUGCAUCGGGGCGGAGCAGUGGUCUCAGGAUUCGUCCGGACCUGGCCUCCGUUCCCGCGUCCGGGCACUUUGUGCACUUUCUCCGGGUCGAGCGCCACGACCGGUUUCGCGGCGGUCAUGAGCUCGGCUGCAAGGUGACUCCGUCGCUUCGGGGAUGGAGAGUUAUAGGCAGCCGCAGUGGACACGUCGCGGGACCGAGGACGCUGUGCCGCGUCUCACGGCCUCGGGUCGUCGUUGCAGAGUCGAACUCGGCGCACUGCUCUGCAGAGCGCCGUAAGCGUCUGCGACGCACGGACCCGUACGCCUGGGAACGCCUAGGGUCAGUGGCGAAUCGGUCGGUCCUCCACCCGACCCGUCUUGAAACACGGACCAAGGAGUCUAACAUGUGCGCGAGUCAUGGGGUCUUACGAAACCCAAAGGCGCAAUGAAAGUGAAGGCCGCCUCCGGUUGGCCCAGGCAGGAUCCCGUCGCUUGCGGCGGGCGCACUGCCGGCCCGUCCCGACAGCAUCGUCUGCGGGGCGGAGCAAGAGCGCACACGUUGGGACCCGAAAGA
Molecule: ribosomal RNA, 566 nt
Filed under: Panopea abbreviata
Lineage: Eukaryota; Metazoa; Mollusca; Bivalvia; Adapedonta; Hiatellidae
Description: eukaryotic LSU rRNA
Rfam family: Eukaryotic large subunit ribosomal RNA (bases 382-566)
Source: RNAcentral